GACGAACGCUGGCGGCGUGCUUAACACAUGCAAGUCGAACGGUAAGGCCCUUCGGGGUACACGAGUGGCGAACGGGUGAGUAACACGUGGGUGAUCUGCCCUGCCCUUCGGGAUAAGCCUGGGAAACUGGGUCUAAUACCGGAUAGGACCCUGGGAUGCAUGUCCUGGGGUGGAAAGCUUUUGCGGGGUGGGAUGGGCCCGCGGCCUAACAGCUUGUUGGUGGGGUGAUGGCCUACCAAGGCGACGACGGGUAGCCGGCAUGAGAGGGUGACCGGCCACAAUGGGACUGAGAGACGGCCCAGACUCCUACGGGAGGCAGCAGUGGGGAAUAUCGCACAAUGGGCGCAAGCCUGAUGCAGCGACGCCGCGGGAGGGAUGACGGCCUUCGGGUUGUAAACCUCUUUCAGCACCGACGAAGCGCAAGUGACGGUAGGUGCAGAAGAAGGACCGGCCAACUACGUGCCAGCCGCCGCUGUAA
This 478-nucleotide ribosomal RNA is filed under the name uncultured bacterium. RNAcentral's name for it is "partial 16S ribosomal RNA". It matches the Rfam family "Bacterial small subunit ribosomal RNA", at positions 28 to 523 of the family's 1533-position model. The record is from RNAcentral.